GCCUCUCCACCUACAUGUGUGCUGUGCGGGACAAGAGAGUGCGGAAAUUGUCGCCAACGCUUUCAUUUGCGUCAUCGAAGGAAUGCACACUUCCCGUCACUAAACCACCCAGUUUGUGUCGUGCUGGAGAUCACCGAGUUAUGUUAUUACAUACGAAUUGUCAUCUUCCCAUGAAUCCUUAUCCUACAAAGGAGACUCAGUAAGAGCUCCCUCCACUAAAGAAACCCUUCCUAAAAACGAAAAGAACUAUCAUGGCAACUGGUGAAAGCACAGAACAGAGGUGGAAUGGAAAUUCAGAAGACAAGACAGAAGACACACCUUCC
This is a long non-coding RNA of Dermacentor silvarum, 323 nucleotides long. RefSeq lists it as uncharacterized. Lineage: Eukaryota; Metazoa; Arthropoda; Arachnida; Ixodida; Ixodidae. The transcript is spliced from 3 exons. The record is from RefSeq and is a predicted model, not a curated record.